GCAUAUCAAUAAGCGGAGGAAAAGAAACCAACAGGGAUUGCCUUAGUAACGGCGAAGUGAAGCGGCAAGAAGCUCAAAUUUGAAAUCUGGUACCUUCGGUGCCCGAGUUGUAAUUUGAAGAAGGUAUUCUUGAUUCUGGCCUUUAUCUAUGUUCCUUGGAACAGGACGUCACAGAGGGUGAGAAUCCCGUGCGAUGAGGUGUCCAGUUUUAUGUAAGAUUCCUUCGAAGAGUCGAGUUGUUUGGGAAUGCAGCUCUAAGUGGGUGGUAAAUUCCAUCUAAAGCUAAAUAUUGGCGAGAGACCGAUAGCGAACAAGUACAGUGAUGGAAAGAUGAAAAGAACUUUGAAAAGAGAGUGAAAAAGUACGUGAAAUUGCUGAAAGGGAAGGGUUUUAGAUCAGACUUGGUAUUUAACAAUCAUUCUCUCUUUGAGGGUUUGCUCUUGUUUUUUACUGGGCCAGCAUCGGUUUGGGUGGCAGGAUAAUGACAUUGGAACGUGGCACCCCUCGGGGUGUGUUAUAGCCUUUGUUGAUACUGCCUACCUAGACCGAGGACUGCGUUUUUUAACUAGGAUGCUGGCGUAAUGAUCUAAAACCGCCCGUCUUGAAACACGGACCAAGGAGUCUAACGUCUAUGCGAGUGUUUGGGUGUAAAACCCGUACGCGUAAUGAAAGUGAACGUAGAUGAGAGCUCUUUUUUGAGUGCAUCAUCGACCGAUCCUGAUGUCUUCGGAUGGAUUUGAGUAAGAGCAUAGCUGUUGGGACCCGAAAGAUGGUGAACUAUGCCUGAAUAGGGUGAAGCCAGAGGAAACUCUGGUGGAGGCUCGUAGCGGUUCUGACGUGCAAAUCGAUCGUCAAAUUUGGGGUAUAGGGGGCGAAAGACUAAUCGAAACCAUCUAGUAGCUGGUUUCCUGCCGA
RNAcentral lists this ribosomal RNA (915 nucleotides) under Kuraishia floccosa. RNAcentral's name for it is "LSU rRNA". It matches the Rfam family "Eukaryotic large subunit ribosomal RNA", at positions 38 to 964 of the family's 3401-position model. The record is from RNAcentral. Lineage: Eukaryota; Fungi; Ascomycota; Pichiomycetes; Pichiales; Pichiaceae.